Molecule: non-coding RNA, 85 nt
Filed under: uncultured Anaerobutyricum sp.
Lineage: Bacteria; Bacillati; Bacillota; Clostridia; Lachnospirales; Lachnospiraceae
Description: Glycine riboswitch
Rfam family: Glycine riboswitch aptamer
About the family: This family represents the bacterial glycine riboswitch.
Source: RNAcentral
GGACCUCCGGAGAAGUCCGCACUCGAUGCGGGUGCCGAAGGGGCAAGACAGACAUGUUGAAUCUCUCAGGCAAAAGGACGGAGUG